CUCUAUGGCCAAACCACCCUGAACGCCUGCGAUCUUGUCUGAUAUCAGAAGCUAAGCAGGGUCGGGCCUGGUUAGUAUUUGAAUGGCAGACUCUGGGUUUUUGAAAGCUUUGUCUCAGAGAUUAGGCAGUUGGAAAUC
Vulpes vulpes (red fox) is the source of this 138-nucleotide ribosomal RNA. The record is from Ensembl. NCBI's taxonomy places the organism in Eukaryota, Metazoa, Chordata, Mammalia, Carnivora, Canidae.